GACGAACGCUGGCGGCGUGCCUAAUACAUGCAAGUAGAACGCUGAAGGAGGAGCUUGCUUCUCUGGAUGAGUUGCGAACGGGUGAGUAACGCGUAGGUAACCUGCCUGGUAGCGGGGGAUAACUAUUGGAAACGAUAGCUAAUACCGCAUAAUAGCAGUUAUUGCAUGAUAACUGUUUGAAAGGUGCAAUUGCACCACUACCAGAUGGACCUGCGUUGUAUUAGCUAGUUGGUGGGGUAACGGCUCACCAAGGCGACGAUACAUAGCCGACCUGAGAGGGUGAUCGGCCACACUGGGACUGAGACACGGCCCAGACUCCUACGGGAGGCAGCAGGAGGGAAUCUUCGGCAAUGGACGGAAGUCUGACCGAGCAACGCCGCGUGAGUGAAGAAGGGUUUCGGAUCGUAAAGCUCUGUUGUAAGAGAAGAACGAGUGUGAGAGUGGAAAGUUCACACUGUGACGGUAUCUUAUCAGAAAGGGACGGCUAACUACGUG
RNAcentral lists this ribosomal RNA (495 nucleotides) under uncultured bacterium. RNAcentral describes it as "partial 16S ribosomal RNA". It matches the Rfam family "Bacterial small subunit ribosomal RNA", at positions 28 to 507 of the family's 1533-position model. The record is from RNAcentral.